CGUGCCUAAUACAUGCAAGUCGAGCGGAAUGAUGAAGAAGCUUGCUUCUUCUGAUUUUAGCGGCGGACGGGUGAGUAACACGUGGGCAACCUACCUUGUAGAUUGGGAUAACUCCGGGAAACCCGGGGCUAAUACCGAAUAAUCCAUUUUGCUUCAUGGCGAGAUGUUAAAAGGCGGCUUCGGCUGUCACUACGAGAUGGGCCCGCGGCGCAUUAGCUAGUUGGUAGGGUAAUGGCCUACCAAGGCGACGAUGCGUAGCCGACCUGAGAGGGUGAUCGGCCACACUGGGACUGAGACACGGCCCAGACUCCUACGGGAGGCAGCAGUAGGGAAUCUUCCACAAUGGACGAAAGCCUGAUGGAGCAACGCCGCGUGAGUGAAGAAGGUUUUCGGAUCGUAAAACUCUGUUGUAAGGGAAGAACACGUACGAGAGUAACUGCUCGUACCUUGACGGUACCUUAUUAGAAAGCCACGGCUAACUACGUG
RNAcentral lists this ribosomal RNA (486 nucleotides) under uncultured bacterium. RNAcentral describes it as "bacterial SSU rRNA". It matches the Rfam family "Bacterial small subunit ribosomal RNA", at positions 43 to 507 of the family's 1533-position model. The record is from RNAcentral.